CCUACGGGAGGCAGCAGUGAGGAAUAUUGGUCAAUGGGCGUAAGCCUGAACCAGCCAUGUCGCGUGAGGGAUGGAGGUUCUAUGGAUCGUAAACCUCUUUUUUAAGGGAAUAAAGUGUGGGACGUGUCCCAUUCUGUAUGUACCUUAUGAAUAAGGAUCGGCUAACUCCGUGCCAGCAGCCGCGGUAAUACGGAGGAGCCGAGCGUUAUCCGGAUUUAUUGGGUUUAAAGGGUGCGUAGGCGGCCUUUUAAGUUAGGGGUGAAAGGCUGUGGCUCAACCAGAGAAGUGCCGUUGAUACUGUGGGGCUUGAGUAUGUUUGAGGCAGGCGGAAUGUGUGGUGUAGCGGUGAAAUGCUUAGAUAUCACGCAGAACCCCGAUUGCGAAGGCAGCUUACCAAGCCAUGACUGACGCUGAUGCACGAAAGCGUGGGGAUCAAACAGGAUUAGAUACCCGGGUAGUC
This 460-nucleotide ribosomal RNA is filed under the name uncultured bacterium. RNAcentral describes it as "partial 16S ribosomal RNA". It matches the Rfam family "Bacterial small subunit ribosomal RNA", at positions 338 to 795 of the family's 1533-position model. The record is from RNAcentral.